UGACUGGUUAGUAGUCAGCAACGAUGCUGGCACCUUAGUUAUGCCGGUGAACUGUUCGGUUAUAAAUAAGGAAAGUGUAUAGCCAGUUGUCGUGGUAACCGUUCUUCGCAUGGAGUCUGGGAUUGUUCAGAGGACUCGAUAAGUGGGGUGGCCGCUCCUACGACGGGGAUUCGCGAGUUAGGCUUGGCUUGAACUGAUGCAGAGCCAGUAAGACAGAUAUUUUUCUUCAAAUGUUACCCUAAGUUAGCGUGAAGAUUAGCGUGAAGUCGACCGGUCAACCACGAUAUCAGUUGUGUUUCAGACUCAAGCUCUUAUAGUAAAAACGUAUUUGGGAGUCGUUUCCGGCGCCGAUGGUAUCACUAGGCCCAGUGGUCAGCUUGACGGUGGUGUGUUGGUCAACACAGGUCCAUUUCACUAGUCAGCGGGAUGAUGGGGUAAAGCCCAGACAUUAGUAGUGCGCUGCGAUUUAGAGAAGUUUGAGGGGACGAGGACGCUUAUAUGUAGGCCAGAGAGAAGUCCUCCUAUCACUACUAUACAAGAAUGGAUAAAUAAGGACAAUAUGGGAAUACUGACUGCUACUCCAUUGAGGUUUCGAGCUGGUGGGAAGGAAAUUGCCGCAAUGCUCAGCGCUACGAGAAGGACUCGCUCUUUUUUACUGAAUAGCCGACCAACAGACCUGGCCGGCUUGCUACCAUAAAGCAGAUAAUGAAGGUAUAAGAAAAAAGCGAACUAAGGAGUGGUAUCCUUGUAGUCGUUUUACCACUGUUUGUCCAUGCUCCUUUCCCACCCAUCGUGUCGAAUCGACGCUGGCCGCUUAAGAGGAUAACUCUGAACGAGUUUCCUAUGUCCGAACCUGUGUGAGUGUUAACCAAAGAGAAAAAUUGAAAGGAACAAUCUAGCAAAAUGUGCACCCGUUGCAGGCGUACAAGAAUGGAGCAAGUGCUUUCAGCUUUCUCGAAUCACUAGAAUCACUCAUUCAAACUGAUUUCUAUAUCAGAAGAGAGCACAGGCGAUUGUUAAGU
This 1022-nucleotide long non-coding RNA is filed under the name Varroa destructor (honeybee mite). RNAcentral's name for it is "uncharacterized LOC111243883, transcript variant X2". The record is from RNAcentral. Lineage: Eukaryota; Metazoa; Arthropoda; Arachnida; Mesostigmata; Varroidae.